This 486-nucleotide ribosomal RNA is filed under the name uncultured bacterium. RNAcentral's name for it is "partial 16S ribosomal RNA". It matches the Rfam family "Bacterial small subunit ribosomal RNA", at positions 30 to 507 of the family's 1533-position model. The record is from RNAcentral.
AUUGAACGCUGGCGGCAUGCCUUACACAUGCAAGUCGAACGGUAGCACGGGUCCUUUUGCUUUUUCGCUAGUGGCUAGCGGGUGAGUAAUACAUCUGAACAUGUCCUGCUGUUGGGGGUAGCUCGCUGCUAGCCGCGUUAAUUCCUCCCACGUACCGCCGCUGAACCCGAGGGGCCUUCCGUCCUCCCUCUUUCCGUUUGGCCUGGCGGGGAUUAGCUAGUUGGUGGGGUAAAGGCCUACCAAGGCGACGAUCAGUAGCUGGUCUGAGAGGACGACCAGCCACACUGGAACUGAGACACGGCCCAGACUCCUACGGGAGGCAGCAGUGGGGAAUAUUGGACAAUGGGCGAAAGCCUGAUGCAGCAAUGCCGCGUGUGUGAAGAAGGCCUUCGGGUUGUAAAGCACUUUUGGCCGGGAGGAAAGCAGUAGAGCUAAUACGGUCGGGGAAUGACGGUACCGGAAGAAGAAGCACCGGCUAACUACGUG